RNAcentral lists this transfer RNA (16 nucleotides) under Dactyloradula brunnea. Its description in RNAcentral is "Radula brunnea partial tRNA-Ser". The record is from RNAcentral. RNAcentral also lists the same sequence under 6 other names. Lineage: Eukaryota; Viridiplantae; Streptophyta; Jungermanniopsida; Radulales; Radulaceae.
GAAUCCCUCUCUUUCC